GUAGGGUGCAAGCGUUAUCCGGAUUUAUUGGGCGUAAAGAGUUUCGCAGGCGGUUUUUAAGUCAGUUGUUAAAUACUCCGGCUUAACCGGAGAAAGGCAAUCGAUACUGAAAAACUAGUGUUAGGUCGGGGGUGUUGGAAUUCCCGGUGGAGGGGUGAAAUCCGUUGAGAUCGGGAGGAACACCGAGGGCGAAGGCAGACACCUAGGCCUUAACAGACGCUGAUGAACGAAAGCUAGGGGAGCGAAUGGGAUUAGAGACCCCAGUAGUCCUAGCCGUAAACAAUGCCUACUAGCUGCUCCGGUGUUACAUCGGAGUGGCGCAAGCUAACGCGUUAAGUAGGCCGCCCUGGGAAGUACGGCCGCAAGGCUA
RNAcentral lists this ribosomal RNA (370 nucleotides) under uncultured organism. RNAcentral's name for it is "partial 16S ribosomal RNA". It matches the Rfam family "Bacterial small subunit ribosomal RNA", at positions 527 to 896 of the family's 1533-position model. The record is from RNAcentral.